This 494-nucleotide long non-coding RNA is filed under the name Trifolium pratense (red clover). RNAcentral's name for it is "long non-coding RNA (TPRA_LNC007665)". Lineage: Eukaryota; Viridiplantae; Streptophyta; Magnoliopsida; Fabales; Fabaceae. The record is from RNAcentral.
UCAAUCAAAAAUCAUCAACCACCACCAUCUAAAAAUCAAAAUAACAAACCCAAAAAAAAUAAGAAGCAAAAAGAAGAAACAGAAGCAAGAAGAAAGAAAAAGAGAAGAGGAUGAAGUUUGAGAGAAGGGAGAAGACAGAAGAGAGAACGUGAGAGUGAGAAAAACGAAGAGAGAGAAAGAAAGUGGAGAAAUGAGAGGGGGAUUUGAUAUUGUGAUCCUGUGUGCGCGCGCGUACGCGAGCUACGCUGCACCAACCCUUGAUCUUUGAUCAAGUGGCUGAUAUGGGGAAGGAGAGAGAAGGAGACAAGGGGUGAAGGAGAGGAUCCAGGUCCAUGAUUCCUUGAUAAUGCAGUGAAAUGUAAAUGUAUCUUUCACCAUAGCUUUUGUUAUUUAUGCUUGUUAAUUUAUAUGCACUAUAAAACCUUUGUAUAUAAAUAGAUCUAAUUAAAUCACUCUAUUGUGUCAUUUUUAUAGAUUAGUUUAUAAAUAUUUCC